RNAcentral lists this ribosomal RNA (449 nucleotides) under uncultured bacterium. RNAcentral describes it as "bacterial SSU rRNA". It matches the Rfam family "Bacterial small subunit ribosomal RNA", at positions 354 to 796 of the family's 1533-position model. The record is from RNAcentral.
GUGGGGAAUUUUGCGCAAUGGGCGAAAGCCUGACGCAGCAACGCCGCGUGUGUGAUGAAGGUCUUCGGAUUGUAAAGCACUUUCGACCGGGACGAACCGCCGGAGCCUAACAUGCUCCGGUCUGACGGUACCGGGAGAAGAAGCACCGGCUAACUCUGUGCCAGCAGCCGCGGUAAUACAGAGGGUGCAAGCGUUGUUCGGAAUUAUUGGGCGUAAAGCGCGUGUAGGCGGCCAUGCAAGUCGGGUGUGAAAGCCCUCGGCUCAACCGAGGAAGUGCGCCCGAAACUGCGUGGCUUGAGUACCGGAGAGGGUGGCGGAAUUCCCCAAGUAGAGGUGAAAUUCGUAGAUAUGGGGAGGAACACCGGUGGCGAAGGCGGCCACCUGGACGGCUACUGACGCUGAGACGCGAAAGCGUGGGGAGCAAACAGGAUUAGAAACCCGUGUAGUCC